UACGUAGGGUGCGAGCGUUGUCCGGAAUUAUUGGGCGUAAAGAGCUCGUAGGCGGUGUGUCACGUCGGCCGUGAAAACCUGGGGCUUAACUCUGGGCGUGCGGUCGAUACGGGCAUCACUAGAGUUCGGCAGGGGAGACUGGAAUUCCUGGUGUAGCGGUGAAAUGCGCAGAUAUCAGGAGGAACACCGGUGGCGAAGGCGGGUCUCUGGGCCGAUACUGACGCUGAGGCACGAAAGCGUGGGGAGCAAACAGG
Molecule: ribosomal RNA, 254 nt
Filed under: uncultured bacterium
Lineage: Bacteria
Description: partial 16S ribosomal RNA
Rfam family: Bacterial small subunit ribosomal RNA
Source: RNAcentral